AAGUCGUAACAAGGUUUCCGUAGGUGAACCUGCGGAAGGAUCAUUAUUAAUGGAAAAAAAAGAGUUGCUGCUUUUUUCUUGCACUGUAAGAAUUCGGCAGUAACUUUUUCUUCCUUGUGAACUGGGGACUCUCUCCAAACCUUUCUUGUGUUUUGUGUUUUUGCUUUCUAUAUUGGAAAGAGAAAAUAAAACAACAAGGGAGGAGGGGGGGGUUUGUCCCGUUGCUUUUUUUUUGUUUGACGUUUGUAUUUUUUUUUUUAUAUCUUGAGAUUUACUCUUGUAAAUCAACCAAGACAACUUUCAGCAAUGGAUCUCUUGGCUCUU
This 324-nucleotide unclassified non-coding RNA is filed under the name fungal sp. RNAcentral describes it as "partial internal transcribed spacer region". The stretch from base 1 to 46 matches the Rfam family "Eukaryotic small subunit ribosomal RNA", at positions 1786 to 1831 of the family's 1831-position model. The record is from RNAcentral. Lineage: Eukaryota; Fungi.